GAUGAACGCUGGCGGCGUGCCUAAUACAUGCAAGUCGAGCGAACGGACGAGAAGCUUGCUUUUCUGAUGUUAGCGGCGGACGGGUGAGUAACGCGUGGAUAACCUACCUAUCAGACUGGGAUAACUUCGGGAAACCGGAGCUAAUACCGGAUAAUCUUUUGAACCGCAUGGUUCAAAAGUGAAAGACGGUCUUGCUGUCACUUAUAGAUGGAUCCGCGCUGCAUUAGCUAGUUGGUAAGGUAACGGCUUACCAAGGCAACGAUGCAUAGCCGACCUGAGAGGGUGGUCGGCCACACUGGAACUGAGACACGGUCCAGACUCCUGCGGGAGGCAGCAGUAGGGUAUCUUCCGCAAUGGGCGAAAGCCUGGCGGAGCAGCGCCGCGUGAGUGAUGAAGGUCUUCGGAUCGUAAAACUCUGUUAUUAGGGAAGAACAGAUGUGUAAGGAACUGUGCACAUCUUGACGGUACCUAAUCAGAAAGCCACGGCUAACUACGUG
Molecule: ribosomal RNA, 497 nt
Filed under: uncultured bacterium
Lineage: Bacteria
Description: partial 16S ribosomal RNA
Rfam family: Bacterial small subunit ribosomal RNA
Source: RNAcentral